UACGAAGGGGGCGAGCGUUGUUCGGAAUUACUGGGCGUAAAGGGCGCGUAGGCGGCCGAUCAAGUCAGAUGUGAAAGUCCUGGGCUUAACCUGGGGACUGCAUUUGAUACUGAUUGGCUUGAAUGCAGGAGAGGAUAGCGGAAUUCCCAGUGUAGAGGUGAAAUUCGUAGAUAUUGGGAAGAACCCCGGUGGCGAAGGCGGCUAUCUGGACGGUAAUUGACGCGGAGGAACGAAAGCGUGGGAGCAAACAGG
Molecule: ribosomal RNA, 252 nt
Filed under: uncultured bacterium
Lineage: Bacteria
Description: partial 16S ribosomal RNA
Rfam family: Bacterial small subunit ribosomal RNA
Source: RNAcentral